This 352-nucleotide unclassified non-coding RNA is filed under the name soil metagenome. RNAcentral describes it as "partial contains 5.8S ribosomal RNA, internal transcribed spacer 2, and large subunit ribosomal RNA". The stretch from base 1 to 120 matches the Rfam family "5.8S ribosomal RNA", at positions 35 to 154 of the family's 154-position model. The record is from RNAcentral.
GAUGAAGAACGUAGCGAAAUGCGAUAAGUAAUGUGAAUUGUAGAAUUCAGUGAAUCAUCGAAUCUUUGAACGCACAUUGCGCCCGCCAGUAUUCUGGCGGGCAUGCCUGUUCGAGCGUCAUUACAACCCUCAGGCCCCCGGGCCUGGCGUUGGGGAUCGGCGGAGCCCCCCGUGGGCACACGCCGUCCCCCAAAUGCAGUGGCGGUCCCGCCGCAGCUUCCAUCGCGUAGUAGCUAACACCUCGCGACUGGAGAGCGGCGCGGCCACGCCGUAAAACACCCAACUCUUCUGAAGUUGACCUCGAAUCAGGUAGGAAUACCCGCUGAACUUAAGCAUAUCAAUAAGCGGAGGA